RNAcentral lists this ribosomal RNA (407 nucleotides) under uncultured bacterium. RNAcentral's name for it is "partial 16S ribosomal RNA". It matches the Rfam family "Bacterial small subunit ribosomal RNA", at positions 30 to 526 of the family's 1533-position model. The record is from RNAcentral.
AUUGAACGCUAGCGGGAUGCCUUACACAUGCAAGUCGAACGGAGUGGCGAACGGGUGAGUAAGGUAUCGGAACGUGCCCAUUAGCGGGGGAUAACUACACUAAAGCGUAGCGAAUACCGACUACUAUUGGCGCGGCCUAUAUGGGGUUAGCUAGUUGGGGGGGUAACGGCUCACCAAGGCCACGAUCCGUAGCUGGUUUGAGAGGGUGACCAGCCACACGGGGACUGAGACACGGCCCAGACUCCUACGGGAGGCAGCAGUGGGGAAUUUUGGACAAUGGGGGAAACCCUGAUGCAGCCAUCCCGCGUGUGCGAUGAAGGCCUUCGGGUUGUAAAGCACUUUUGGCAGGAAAGCGGUACCUGCAGAAUAAGCACCGGCUAACUACGUGCCAGCAGCCGCGGUAAUUC